GAUGAACGCUGGCGGCGUGCCUAAUACAUGCAAGUCGAGCGAACAGACGAGAGUGCUUGCACUCUCUGACGUUAGCGGCGGACGGGUGAGUAACACGUGGGUAACCUACCUAUAAGACUGGGAUAACUUCGGGAAACCGGAGCUAAUACCGGAUAAUAUUUAGCUUCGCAUGAAGCAAUAGUGAAAGACGGUUCUGCUGUCACUUAUAGAUGGACCCGCGGUGUAUUAGCUAGUUGGUGAGGUAACGGCUCACCAAGGCAACGAUACAUAGCCGACCUGAGAGGGUGAUCGGCCACACUGGGACUGAGACACGGCCCAGACUCCUACGGGAGGCAGCUGUAGGGAAUCUUCCGCAAUGGACGAAAGUCUGACGGAGCAAUGCCGCGUGAGUGAAGAAGGUUUUCGGAUCGUAAAACUCUGUUGUAAGGGAAGAACAAGUACGUUAGUAACUGAACGUACCUUGACGGUACCUUACCAGAAAGCCACGGCUAACUACGUG
This 499-nucleotide ribosomal RNA is filed under the name uncultured bacterium. Its description in RNAcentral is "partial 16S ribosomal RNA". It matches the Rfam family "Bacterial small subunit ribosomal RNA", at positions 28 to 507 of the family's 1533-position model. The record is from RNAcentral.